This 451-nucleotide ribosomal RNA is filed under the name uncultured Geobacillus sp. RNAcentral's name for it is "bacterial SSU rRNA". It matches the Rfam family "Bacterial small subunit ribosomal RNA", at positions 924 to 1382 of the family's 1533-position model. The record is from RNAcentral. Lineage: Bacteria; Bacillati; Bacillota; Bacilli; Caryophanales; Anoxybacillaceae.
CACAAGCGGUGGAUCAUGUUGCUUAAUUCGAUGAUACGCGAAGAACCUUACCAGGUCUUGACAUCCCUUGCAAAGCUAUGGAGACAUAGUGGAGGUUAUCAAGGAGACAGGUGGUGCAUGGUUGUCGUCAGCUCGUGUCGUGAGAUGUUGGGUUAAGUCCCGCAACGAGCGCAACCCUCGCCUCUAGUUGCCAGCAUUCGGUUGGGCACUCUAGAGGGACUGCCGGCGACAAGUCGGAGGAAGUGGGAUGACGUCAAAUCAUCAUGCCCCUUAUGACCUGGGCUACACACGUGCUACAAUGGGCGGUACAAAGGGCUGCGAACCCGCGAGGGGGAGCGAAUCCCAAAAAGCCGCUCUCAGUUCGGAUUGCAGGCUGCAACUCGCCUGCAUGAAGCCGGAAUCGCUAGUAAUCGCGGAUCAGCAUGCCGCGGUGAAUACGUUCCCGGGCCUU